AAGUUAGCUCAGUUGGUUAGAGUGCUGGAUUGUGACUCCAGAGGUCGCGGGUUCAAACCCCGUACU
RNAcentral lists this transfer RNA (66 nucleotides) under human gut metagenome. It matches the Rfam family "tRNA", at positions 5 to 66 of the family's 71-position model. Rfam says of the family: Transfer RNA (tRNA) molecules are approximately 80 nucleotides in length. Their secondary structure includes four short double-helical elements and three loops (D, anti-codon, and T loops). The record is from RNAcentral.